This is a long non-coding RNA of Oxyura jamaicensis (ruddy duck), 2881 nucleotides long. RefSeq lists it as uncharacterized. The transcript has 5 exons. NCBI's taxonomy places the organism in Eukaryota, Metazoa, Chordata, Aves, Anseriformes, Anatidae. The record is from RefSeq and is a predicted model, not a curated record.
UUGAAAGGUUGACUUCGGUCUCCUUUUCAUUGGUAACUGCUUAGCAGAUCGAGCAUCUUGGCUCCACAGAGCACAGGUUGUUCCAUCAUUUAUUUAUGAUGCUCUCGAGCCUGGGGCUACAACAUUAUUUUGAUAUAUAAGGAGUUUAGAAGAUGCAAAACUAUCGACUGCAUGUUUUAUUCAUCCUUAAAUUGCAAGAGCGCCUCGGUUUCCUUUUGAUGCCUAGCCUAUUUGCAUAUGCUACCUGUGUGCUUCUACAGGCACUUACUAUUUGAAUGUAUAUGCCCUCAUCAGCUAUAAAGCAUUAAUGUUUUGCACUUGUAUAGCCUUUCAUCCGAGGAUCUCAAAGUCUUUCACCGACGAGAAUUACAGUCCCCUUUGAAGUGGAUUCAUCUAUCCUGCUGGUCCUGAGGAAUUAUUCCACUAACCAGACAAGAUCAAGACAGAACACCGACUUCAAAACUACUUGUGUCAUCCUUGAAGAUGCUGUGGGUGGAAUUAAUCACUUCUCCAUAUACCAGAGCACUGACAUCCUGAAUUUGUUACAUCAAAGGAUAUUGACUGAGAAGACAAAUAAUUAAAUGACCCGUAACACAGCUGAAAAACUUUACCAUAGAAGCAAUGGUACCAGGACUGGCAGGGAAGGAGAAUACUCAGGAAGAACAGAAAUUACAUGCAGGAGACUUACAGCCAUUCAAGGUGAAAGAUGCCAUGUUGUCCUCUUACAGAACAUCCUAAAAUGUAUCUGAGGAAAUGAUUUGCUUACUGAGGCAUACUUUUAAAAACUACCCUGACACUUCUGAAUGGAGUGCAGUGCUGGUGCAAAAGUCAUCAAUAACAGAGCAUGCUGAUGCAGCCUGAUGCUGAUCCAUCGCUGCAGUUCCCGAGGAGACAUUAUGAUGCAUUUCAUCUCCAUGUGAGGAAAAUGUUAGGAUGUUAAUAUGGGUAUAACUGACAACAUAAAUUUCAGUAAGUUAUGGAAUUCUUACUCUCUCUAUAUAAUUGAGAAUUUAGUUUUAAAACAUUAAUUACAAAGCAACUUCAUUUUUCUUUUCACACUGUCACACCUUAUAAGCAAACUGAGAGCGUUGACUUUAUUGUUAAAUAUUCAUUCCAAGCCCAGGAGAUUUAGUGGUACAAUUUCUGUUACUAUUUAUGGGAACUGAUGUGGUUAGCCCCUGUUCAGGUGUAACAACGAAUUUACUUUUGUAUUUCCAAAAUUAACAGGUUUAGUACAGAAAGGCUAAAGACUAGAAUUAGUUGAAUUUAAAAGAACAAUAAUUACAGAUGUCUUCAUUUAGAGAUAAAAACCUUUGGAGAAAAAAUGUUUUGACAUCCUCAAGGAGGUGCUGAAAACAAGUAAAUAGUAAAUUUAGCUAAACUUCUUGGGUACGAUUUUAUAUUUUCUAUUUCUUUUCAUAGAAGACACAGACCAUCUCCCUACCAGUUUUCCUAAGUUAGGAGUCUUUGGGUGUAAAAUCUGAUCUUUUUAGGUGGUAGUUUGAGGUUGAAUUACAACAUCAAGAUCCUUUGACAUAAUUUUAUGAAUUAUCCCCAGUGGCAAACUUUUUGCAAAUAUCUAGAGCAGGGCCAUGGAAUAGAUAGCUAUGCAACUGUUAAAUCCCCGUUCCUUUUUCUUUUCCCUGGGUGUUGGACCUUAAAACUUGUAUAACUAUUACACUGAGGACUUACAUGUUUUGAACCCAAACAUUUCCUAAGUGUCUAUGUUCAGGAGUGCGUAGGGUGGCUUUUAACUGUAUUUCACCUCUUUUGACCAAGGACAGGGAGCUACCUAGCUUCACCCGGGUGCUAUAUCCAUUAAACUUGCUUCAUUUGUAGAAUGGACCACACUGAAUGCAGUGACAAUUCCACCUUUCCUCAGUGCUGGGCCUCUGGAAGAGGAAGAAGAGCCAAGUAGUGGCUGGAGUCCUCAUCCAUGGAGUGGCUUUCAGCCUUCCUAAAUAAGUUUAUCUCCUGCUUAGAAGCAAGACUGGGACAAAGCUUUCUCCUCUUGCCCCAGGAAGCUUAUGAUUAAAGAAUUCAGAACCAGAAGGAAUGAAUUCUGGGGAAUCUGUCUCUUCAGCCUCAAGAUAAGCUUGUUAUCUCGGGCUGGUCUGUGUCACAGCCCAUUUUGUGCAAGGGGAGAGCUGUUUGCCUCAGCUCUCUGAACUUUGAUCUGAACCAAACAGAAGAGGCCUGCUGCAUUGGUCCAUAAGAUCCAGAGCAGGGAUCUUUGCUGGAGUUUGCAAUGGUUCUCUGUUGGCUACAUCUUCUGGAUUCCUCCCAGAACAUAGACUUAGCAUGUCGUUUACACUUAAGUUUUUCUUUGUAAAUUAAUCGGGCACUGACAGCUGUUCUUUCAAAGUGUAGGGAGCUCAAGUGCUUUGAAAUAUGUACACGAGACCUGAGUCUGCUUCUGCUGCUAUUUCAGUGUUUAUCGUCGGCACUUAAAAUGGCCAGUUCCAAUACAAUCCAGAACAAAGGAGAAAAAAAAAAAAAAAAAAGCUUUAAACUAAGAAUUAUACAUAUAUUUACUCACCUCUGUUUAGCAUUUCUUUGUGGCCUGCCUAGCCUUCCUUAUUGAGUGAAAGUCUUUUAUAUUGAUUUAGCAGUGAAAUAGAUGAGGAGUGCUCACACAAUCUAUUCCAUUGACUCAGCUCCACUGGAGAAAUGCACACUUGAGCAGUGGUAAUGAAUAGGUUGAGCUGAUAACUUCUAAAUUUCCUAAGCUAUGAUUAUCUGCUUAUCAUGUGAGUUAACUCCUUAGAUCCACAUAGCGUGAUAGUAUUUAACAGAACAAAGGUCUAUAUUGUGUUAUCGAAAAGUAUCAAUAUUUUUUCAGGAACUUUGCCAUUUGUUAGAAGAAUGAAACCAUAGUAUG